CGAUUGUAGUCAUAUGCUUGUCUCAAAGACUAAGCCAUGCAUGCCUAAGUAUAAGCAAUCUAUACUGUGAAACUGCGAAUGGCUCAUUAAAUCGGUUAUCGUUUAUUUGAUAGUACCUUACUACUUGGAUAACCGUGGUAAUUCUAGAGCUAAUACAUGCUAAAAACCCCGACUUUUGGAGGGGUGUAUUUAUUAGAUAAAAAACCAAUGCCCUUCGGGGCUCCUUGGUGAUUCAUAAUAACUUAACGAAUCGCAUGGCCUUGUGCCGGCGAUGGUUCAUUCAAAUUUCUGCCCUAUCAACUUUCGAUGGUUAGGUCUUGGCUAACCAUGGUUUCAACGGGUAACGGGGAAUUAGGGUUCUAUUCCGGAGAGUGAGCCUGAGAAAUGGCUAACACAUCCAAGGAAGGCAGCAGGCGCGCAAAUUACCCAAUCCCGACACGGGGAGGUAGUGACAAUAAAUACUGAUCCAGGGCUCUUUUGGGUCUUGGAAUUGGAAUGAGUACAAUUUAAAUCCCUUAACGAGGAACAAUUGGAGGGCAAGUCUGGUA
RNAcentral lists this ribosomal RNA (548 nucleotides) under uncultured eukaryote. RNAcentral's name for it is "SSU rRNA". It matches the Rfam family "Eukaryotic small subunit ribosomal RNA", at positions 21 to 566 of the family's 1831-position model. The record is from RNAcentral.